UGGGGAAUAUUGCACAAUGGGGGAAACCCUGAUGCAGCGACGCCGCGUGAGUGAAGAAGUAUUUCGGUAUGUAAAGCUCUAUCAGCAGGGACGAAUAAAUGACGGUACCUGACUAAGAAGCCCCGGCUAACUACGUGCCAGCAGCCGCGGUAAUACGUAGGGGGCAAGCGUUAUCCGGAUUUACUGGGUGUAAAGGGAGCGUAGACGGUGAUGUAAGUCAGAUGUGAAAGCCCGGGGCUCAACCCCGGGACUGCAUUUGAAACUAUGUUGCUAGAGUGCAGGAGAGGUAAGUGGAAUUCCUAGUGUAGCGGUUAAAUGCGUAGAUAUUAGGAGGAACACCAGUGGCGAAGGCGGCUUACUGGACUGUAGCUGACGUUGAGGCUCGAAAGCGUGGGGAGCAAACA
RNAcentral lists this ribosomal RNA (404 nucleotides) under uncultured bacterium. RNAcentral's name for it is "bacterial SSU rRNA". It matches the Rfam family "Bacterial small subunit ribosomal RNA", at positions 355 to 774 of the family's 1533-position model. The record is from RNAcentral.